Molecule: long non-coding RNA, 5146 nt
Filed under: Gossypium barbadense (sea-island cotton)
Lineage: Eukaryota; Viridiplantae; Streptophyta; Magnoliopsida; Malvales; Malvaceae
Description: long non-coding RNA (GBAR_LNC021900)
Source: RNAcentral
UCAGAGAUGAUGGCGGAGGCAAGAGGACCUGUUAUUUCGUGUAGAUGCAGCAAAACCGAAGACUGUCAGGGUAUUUGCGCCGUGUGCCCCAACUAUAGCUGCAUUAAUAACCUUUGUACUUGCCUUUCAAACGCACCUCCAUUUCCAUAGUCUUAGAAUCUACACACUCCAACAGUUGAAUGAAAUGGUGGGAUUUUUUUGUGUAAUUUGAAAUAAAUUAUCAUGCAAUGGAUCUAAUAAGAAAAAAUAUUGUAAUUAUUGUAAUUUUAAUUUUCUUUUUACCCUUCUCUGCGCCUCCCCUCCCCCUUUCUAGUAACGAAAAGUAUGUUACAUUUCAAAUAUAUAAAAAGAGUUACAAUCUUGUUUUAAAACUAAAAGAAAUAACAGUAAGAACAAAAGAUAGGAGAAAAAUUAAGACACAAAAUGAGAUGAUAAUUCUUCUUUCUACUUGUAUCUCAUAAGCUUGUAUAUGGCUUCAAUCUAUAGGGCUUCAACAAUGAUAGGCUAAAAAUAAUAUAAAUAGGAAUUUCAAAACUCGCAAUAACUUGAAUGGGUAUUUCAUAAGUUUCAAAUUCCACCGUAUUCUUUUGGUGGGGACACUUUGUUAAUUUAUUAACAACACUAUGCACUAGAUGUGUAUCGAAUGGAAACGAGCUCUGUUAAAACUUUAUUAGAAAAAAUUGCAUAAGCACCUAUAAUAAGCUAAAACAUUAAAGACAUUUCAUGGGAAAACUUAGCUGGACAAUACCUUGGGUAAAGGAAAGAGUAAACAUGUUUUAGACUCCCCCUAAUUUUAAAAAUAUUGAAACAUGGUACAAAUUUUGAAACAAUUUUUUGUUGCUAACUACUUCGUCAAGGAGAAUCAUACUAUGAAGACAUGCCUUUUUAAUUACAAUGAUAACCAUUGAGUUUCAUUGUAUACUCUAGGUUCAUUUGCCAAUAACUCUUUUGCACAUCAUAAUAUAGGUGGGGGCGAAUAAAACUUUAAAUUAAGCGACAUUAAUACAUGCAUUAAAGCCUCCAUUAAUUUCUUAGAAGUUUAUUUUUAUGUCCACAAUCAACAUUUUUCUUAUGCGGACAUGAGACCUUGCUAUUGCAUAUGACUUAAGGAAAACUGUAUAUUAAAUUUAGCCUCGUGGCUUUGGAGAUUUCUACAUCCUAUCUCUCUUUCUUACUCCGUUUCAAGGAUGUUCAUGUAGACCACCUGAUAGAUAGUUGUAUGGUUUCUUUAUUCUUAUUGAAACACAUAUCGAGUCUUUCUUGACAUCACUGUGACUUUAAUAGUCAUUACCAAUAUGGUUUGACUCUUGCAGGUUUUGAGUACAUUGGCGUGUCAUUCGGCCCAAUUAAAGGCUAUUAUUGUUGUUUCAAUUUGAGAUCGCUCUCUUCUAGUUUUUCUUCUUCUUUUCUCAUUUUGGUUUCCUACCCUUUAUAUGCUUGUUGUAGUAUUUUUCCUUAAGUUAAUUUUGGAAAUACAUAGAAUCUAUUGAAUGGAGUGCCAUUAAUCUUAUCAACAUUAUAUCUCAUCAUCUUCUUGCUUGUUUUUAGGAUCUUCAUGGCCAUGGUUAGACAAGAGUUUAUCUAUCUUGUAACACUUAUUUUGGGACAUGCAAUGUGCACAUUUUCUAUAAGUCCUACACUUUUACCAGUUGUUUCAAUGAGGCCAUCUUUAGGUAUUUCCCCCUCUAUUUAUUUCAUUAGUCAAAUUGGAUGUACUUUUAUGAACUUAAAUCAAACAAUCACUUUUUGCGUUUUUGUAACCUCUCUUUUCAGGUCUGAUAACAUCGAUCAAGAAGUUGAGCUCCUCCAUGGAUAGCCUUGGUUGUUUGUUUCCAUUUAUUCACAAUCUCUUGCAACAAAUUUUGACAUUUUAACUGUAGUGAUAGUUUUAUUAGCCUUGUAGCGAGCCCAAGAUACCAACUGCUCCCACCCAUGAUUUUGAAUUUUAAAUACUUUAUUUAAAUGAUUUUGAUGUUUAGAAAUUUAAAAAAUAAACUAAUUUUCUUUUAGGUGAGAAUUAACCCAAAAUUGGUAUUGCCUAUCCAUGAACCUCUUACCUCAAGUUGGUCUGGACUGUGAGGUCGAAAGAUAAGUAGUUGUUGCCAACUCAUUAGUUUAGUGGAAGAUCGAGAGAUCCUACUAGGUUAGCGACUAAUUGAUUGAGUAGAACCAAAAAUAGGAUUUAGUUAUGACCACUGAAGCGAGCUAAUCACUCAUGCUUAGAUUUUAUUGAAUCACAUAUUACUUCUCCAUCUUUUUUAUUUUAUGCAAGCUUAUUUCUUUUCUUAUAAAAACAACUAUUUUUCACUUUAUGAUCAUCGUACUAUAAUUUAUUUAAGUUACUAAUUAGAUCUAUUUGCGUUUAGGUUAAUAUUAAUUUAGUACUUGUCUCCCUUGGGUACGAUCCUCGAGUACUCACCUACUUCGUUGUAAAACUAUAUUACAGCCUGACUCGUAUACUUGAGGACACCGCCUCAAUUCAAUAUAUACUUUUAGCAAUAUUCACACUCUGGAUUCUAGUACGUCCGAAGGCGGUCACUUUCCAAAGUGGCGCGUAGUUUAUCUGCAAAUCAGUGGUGGCUCGUCUACAAUCCGGAGUGAUAUGUUAGACGAGUUCUGGGGAAUUCAUACGUGAGGUGUGUAGCGGAGUUGGGUAGGACUUUUCUGUUAAUUUGAAACUUCAAUGCAUUCAUAAGCACGUGCAUAUAAAAUUGUGAAUACCAAUAUAGUGAAGUGAAGCGUUUUAUGUGAAAAACAGUUAAUCUGAGGUGCUUUGUGGUUGUCUUUAAUCUCAAGAUUGCUAAUUCAUGUGCCUUAUUGGUUUGUUGUUUUAUUUUGAUUUUCUUGUGACUGAACUCACAUUGAGCUUCAUAGCUCACUGCCCUUUAGUUCCCAUCCUUAUAGAUAACCCACCAGGUUGGGAUGCGACAUAUGGAGGGUCGAAAAAGUUUUAAUGUUAUGAAAGUGUUGUUAUGCUUAUUUUAAAAUUUAUGAUAUUUCGGAACUGUACUGUAUUGUUUAUUUUCUAGCAUUGGAUUCAUAUUUAGGUUUUGGUUUUAUAUUGCAAGCAUGACAUAUAAAUUGUUGUUUUUAAGAUGAUGAAAUAAGGAUUUCAAUUAAAUAUGCAUGAAAUAUAGAUGUUAGUAAAACUCAUGAAAAGCCAUUUUUCCGCUGAAAGGUCAUAAUAAAAUUUUAUCUAAUAACUACAAUAUAACUAUGUUUCCAAUAGUUAUCACAUUUUACAAGAAAAAUAUUAGUUUAAUUGUAUUUUAUAUACCCAUGAUUUGUUUUCUAAAAAUAGACACAGUCUUUGUAAGGAUAAAAAAAUAUUUUAAUGUGACUAUUUAAAAUCUUCGAUUGCACUAGGCCAUCACGGUGGCCGAUGUAAUCUCCCGAACUCGGGCCUACCGUCUAGGCCAAUUUGGGGAGGUUACAAUUUCAAUGCCAUAAAGUACUAAAACCAUAUUUUCAAUCAUCUUCAGCAUAGAUUAUUUCAUGUUGAUAUGAGUUGAAUUAAAAUAUUUAAUUUGAACUUAUAAAUUUGUCAUAUUUAAGGGGAAAAAAAGUGGUUUUUACUUCAAACAAAAAGAAGAGAUAAAUUGUUACCAACUAAAUUGAUGAACAAGAAUUUGAUAUGAUAUAUACGUGAAUACAAUAAAAAUACAUUAAUUGCGCUACAAUUGUGUAUAAUAUCCUUUUUAUUUAGUUAUAUUGUGUUUGUACAAAAUUUGUAAAGAUAAAAUACUAUGCAUCAAAUAUGUUCAAUUCUAAUUCUAAUUCUAAUUCUAAUUCUAAUUCUAAUUCCAGUUCCAAUUUGAGUUUGAACUUGAUUUGGAACACAAAAAUUGAGCAUGAUGCCAAGUAUGAGAAUCCAACUCAAGUCUUAUCAAAUAAACAAGCCUAAAUAAAUCUAGUAAAGCUAAUUAAAGCAGUUUAAUCUUUAUCUCGUAUCAAGUUUAUAUUUUAAAAGUUAAACUCAAUGAAGUUAUAUUGGAGCAUUCAAUUCUCUAGGUUUCUUUGGAGAUUGAGAUUGAAUUUCUUGGCUCAGUUCAACCCCAUUAAAUAACUUUAAAUUUUUUAUUUUGAUACAAUAGUUAAUAUUGUUUCCAAACUCAUAUAACUGGUUGUGUAGGAAGGGGUCAGGUUUUUUUGUGUGCUUUCUCUCACUACUAUCUCCAAAAUUUUAAUGCUUUUAGUAUUUUAAUAUUUGAAAAUUAUUAAAAAAUUUGUCUAGCAAGAAAAAUAUAAUUUAAUCUUUUCUUCUCCUAGACCACAAAUAAAAAAAAUUGGAACAUAUUUCCCAUUUGUUUUUAAACGGUUGGACUAAUAAUCAACUUAUUGGCAUCAUGCAUUCCAGAUUUGGUAACAUUAAUUUCCAUGACUACACUUAGAACAAAAUAAUGAUAAUUAGUAAACAAAAUCCACAUCAAUCUUCUCAAGGAUGUUUUGCUGAUAUACUUUCCUUUUAGACAUAGUUUCAUAAGGAAAAAAAUAAAAACGUAAUAAUCUCAAAGAAUCCAAAGAAAUUAGUAUUCCUCCAUGCAACACAAAAUAAGAUACUAUAUAUAUUAAAUCCAUAAGCUAUAAAUUUCCACCAACAUAGUUAAUUAGAUAUAAAGAGAUGGCAAAGUUUUCAUUCAAUUUGUUUAUAUUUGCUGUCAUCUUAAUCUUUGCAACUCGUUAGUUUCUUCCUAUGCAGCUCUUUUAUUUCCUUUGGUAUAAAUAUUAUGUUUUUGUUUAAUUUAACACAAGGGAAUUUUUGCUGCAGACUCAGAGAUGAUGGCGGAGGCAAGAGGACCUGUUAUUUCGUGUAGAUGCAGCAAAACCGAAGACUGUCAGGGUAUUUGCGCCGUGUGCCCCAACUAUAGCUGCAUUAAUAACCUUUGUACUUGCCUUUCAAACGCACCUCCAUUUCCAUAGUCUUAGAAUCUACACACUCCAACAGUUGAAUGAAAUGGUGGGAUUUUUUUGUGUAAUUUGAAAUAAAUUAUCAUGCAAUGGAUCUAAUAAGAAAAAAUAUUGUAAUUAUUGUAAUUUUAAUUUUCUUUUUACCCUUCUCUGCGCCUCCCCUCCCCCUUUCUAGUAGCGAAAAGUAUGUUACAUUUCAAAUAUAUAAAAAGAGUUACAAUCUUGUUUUAAAACUAAA